RNAcentral lists this transfer RNA (79 nucleotides) under Galegeeska rufescens (East African long-eared elephant shrew). RNAcentral's name for it is "tRNA-Pro". Lineage: Eukaryota; Metazoa; Chordata; Mammalia; Macroscelidea; Macroscelididae. The record is from RNAcentral.
CCGGAUAUUAGGCAGGAGGUAGUUUAAUUAGAAUAUCAGCUUUGGGUGUUGAUGGUGGGGCUGGGUGUCCUUCUCCUGA